This 327-nucleotide ribosomal RNA is filed under the name uncultured bacterium. RNAcentral describes it as "bacterial SSU rRNA". It matches the Rfam family "Bacterial small subunit ribosomal RNA", at positions 28 to 334 of the family's 1533-position model. The record is from RNAcentral.
GACGAACGCUGGCGGCGCGCCUAACACAUGCAAGUCGAACGGAGUUAUUUCAGCAGAAGCUUUCGGGUGGACGCAGGGAUAACUUAGUGGCGAACGGGUGAGUAACACGUGAGGAACCUGCCCUGGAGUGGGGGAUAACAGUUGGAAACGACUGCUAAUACCGCAUAAGCCCACAGCACCGCAUGGUGCAGCGGGACAAGGAGCAAUUCGCUUCAGGAUGGCCUCGCGUCCAAUUAGCUAGUUGGCGGGGUAACGGCCCACCAAGGCGACGAUCAGUAGCCGGACCGAGAGGUUGAACGGCCACAUUGGGACUGAGACACGGCCCAG